Molecule: ribosomal RNA, 1368 nt
Filed under: Triticum aestivum (bread wheat)
Lineage: Eukaryota; Viridiplantae; Streptophyta; Magnoliopsida; Poales; Poaceae
Description: partial small subunit ribosomal RNA
Source: RNAcentral
AUGAGCACUGCAUGUUUUAUCACAAAGUUCCUGGAGGAUCUUGAUUCUGUCGCUUUGAGUAAGCCGGUACCAGCCAGGAAACUGCAUGCAAUUCCAAGAAACAUGCAUCCAACUACAAGGGCCAUGAGAUCGCACUGGCUCCCUCCGAUGGACUGUGAUGCCAAAAUAUAUGUCGAUGGCGACCUGUCAAGGAGCGUUUGUAUUGCCUCUUAUUGUGUCGAGGUCGUUGCCAACGUUGCGGCUGGAGCUCCUUGCCACUACACUACAAUCUUGUGCGAGAUCGACCAUCGCAAUGGCGAAGCUCAUGCCCUCACAAAAAACAAGAAGAGCAAUUUGAAUCCAGUGCAGCUGGCGGCCCUCCUCCUUAUGAUAUUGAGUGCGCCGGCAGUUAACCGCCGGGCCACGGCGAGCCCCCCACAAGACCCGGUGCAGUGCUCGUCUGGUGAUGGCAAAGCUGACUGCACGGUCUCAAGCGCGUACGGCCUGUUCCCAGACCGGUCGACGUGCCGCGCCCGCGCCGUGGUGUACCCUUCCACUGAGGAAGAGCUGGUGCGCGCGGUGGCGAACGCCACGGCCACCAAGACCAAGAUGAAGGUCACCACCAGGUACUCCCAUAGCAUGCCGAAGCUUGCAUGCCCCGGCGCCGGCGACGGCCGGGGCCUCGCCAUCAUCACCAGGUGGCUAAACCGCGUCGUGGGCGUGGAGGCGACGCGGAUGGAGAUGACGGUGGAGAGCGGAAUCACACUGCGGGAGCUCAUCGCGGCGGCUGCCGACGCCGGGCUCGCGCUGCCCUACACGACGGUCGGCGGCAUCCUCGGCACCGCGCAUGGCAGCUCGCUCUGGGGGAAAGGCAGCGCCAUCCACGAGUACGUCGUCCGGAUACGCAUUAUCACGCCCGCUCCGGCCGCCGACGGGUACGCCACGGUGCGAGUGCUCACGUCCGCCGACCCGGAGAUGGACGCCGCGAAGGUCUCGCUCGGCGUCCUUGGUGUCAUCUCGCAGAUGGUGCAUGACUACAUGGGUCAUAUGCGAAAAUGCUACAUCUACGGGAAACAUGCGUUAGACUGCAAGGGCGAUGGCGGCCCGUCAAGGAGCGGUAGCACUGAUUUGUCAAGGUCGAUGCCACCAUCGGGUCCCGAGCUCCUUGCCGUUACACUACAAUCUUGUGUGAGAUCGACCAUCGUAAUGGCGAAGCUCAUGCUCUCGCAAAAGUACCUUCCCGCCUGUCUUCCGGGUGCCACCUGUGGCUUGCAACUAUCUCCAAUAUCAUUUGGUAUCUCCAACGCCGACCCGCAAAUUCCUCCGGUAUAUAUCCAUUUUUGUGUCCAGACAUGGUCUGCGGACAUGAUACGGGAGGAGAAAAAGUAG